CUGGAGACAGGUGCUGCAUGGCUGUCGUCAGCUCGUGUCGUGAGAUGUUGGGUUAAGUCCCGCAACGAGCGCAACCCUUGCCUUUAGUUGCCAGCAGUUCGGCUGGGCACUCUAAAGGGGACUGCCGGUGUUAAACCGGAGGAAGUGGGGAUGACGUCAAGUCCUCAUGGCCCUUAUGACCAGGGCUACACACGUACUACAAUGGCCGAUACAAAGGGCAGCGACACUGCGAGGUGAAGCCAAUCCCGUAAAAUCGGUCUCAGUCCGGAUUGGAGUCUGCAACUCGACUCCAUGAAGUUGGAAUCGCUAGUAAUCGUGGAUCAGCAUGCCACGGUGAAUACGUUCCCGGGCCUU
This 354-nucleotide ribosomal RNA is filed under the name uncultured Desulfobulbus sp. RNAcentral's name for it is "bacterial SSU rRNA". It matches the Rfam family "Bacterial small subunit ribosomal RNA", at positions 1028 to 1382 of the family's 1533-position model. Lineage: Bacteria; Pseudomonadati; Thermodesulfobacteriota; Desulfobulbia; Desulfobulbales; Desulfobulbaceae. The record is from RNAcentral.